GUCUAUGUUCCUACCACUCUGAACACCUAACCAGGGUCAGGCCUGGUUAGUACUUGGAUAGGAGACCACCGAGAAAUACUGGGUACUGUAGACU
Molecule: ribosomal RNA, 94 nt
Filed under: Mus pahari (shrew mouse)
Lineage: Eukaryota; Metazoa; Chordata; Mammalia; Rodentia; Muridae
Source: RNAcentral